CUACGGGCCGCAGCAGUGGGGAAUAUUGCACAAUGAGCGAAAGCUUGAUGCAGCGACGCCGCGUGGAGGAUGACGGUUUUCGGAUUGUAAACUCCUGUUAAGAGUGAAGAAAAGCCUAUAAGUAAUAUGUAUAGGUGUUGACGUUAACUCUAGAGAAAGCUCCGGCUAACUUCGUGCCAGCAGCCGCGGUAAUACGAGGGGAGCUAGCGUUAUUCGGAAUCACUGGGCGUAAAGCGCGUGCAGGCGGCUUGUUAAGUCAGUUGUUAAAUAUCCCGGCUCAACCGGGAACCAGCAAUUGAUACUGGCAGGCUCGAGUGUAGGAGAGAGAAGUGGAAUUAUUGGAGUAGCGGUAAAAUGCGUAGAUCUCAAUAGGAACACCGAUGGCGAAGGCAGCUUCUUGGCCUAUGUCUGACGCUAAAGCGCGAAAGCGUGGGUAGCAAACAGGAUUAGAUACCCCAGUAGUC
RNAcentral lists this ribosomal RNA (464 nucleotides) under uncultured bacterium. RNAcentral describes it as "partial 16S ribosomal RNA". It matches the Rfam family "Bacterial small subunit ribosomal RNA", at positions 339 to 795 of the family's 1533-position model. The record is from RNAcentral.